AUCCAGCUGACGAGUCCUAAAUAGGAUGAAAUGCUCAUCUACCUGUAU
Molecule: non-coding RNA, 48 nt
Filed under: Schistosoma mattheei
Lineage: Eukaryota; Metazoa; Platyhelminthes; Trematoda; Strigeidida; Schistosomatidae
Source: RNAcentral